RNAcentral lists this ribosomal RNA (497 nucleotides) under uncultured bacterium. RNAcentral's name for it is "partial 16S ribosomal RNA". It matches the Rfam family "Bacterial small subunit ribosomal RNA", at positions 28 to 507 of the family's 1533-position model. The record is from RNAcentral.
GAUGAACGCUGGCGGCGUGCCUAAUACAUGCAAGUCGAGCGAACGGAGGAGAAGCUUGCCUCCUUGAUGUUAGCGGCGCACGGGUGAGUAACAUGUGGAUAACCUACCUAUAAGGAGGGGAUAAAUUCGGGAAACCGGAGCUAAUACCGGAUAAUAUUUUGAACCGCAAGGUUCAAGAGUGAAAGACGGUCUUGCUGCCACUUAUAGAUGGAUCCACGCUGCAUUAGCUAGUUGGUAAGGUAACGGCUUACCAAGGCAACGAUCCAUAGCCGACCUGAGAGGGUGAUCGGCCACACUGGAACUGAGACACGGUCCAGACUCCUACGGGAGGCAGCAGUGGGGAAUCUUGCGCAAUGGGCGAAAGCCUGACGGAGCAACGCCGCGUGUGUGAUGAAGGUCUUCGGAUCGUAAAAUUCUGUUAUUAGGGAAGAACAUAGGUGUAAUUAACUGUGCACAUCUUGACGUUACCUGAUCAGAAAGCCACGGCUAACUACGUG